ACGGAAGGCAGCAGUAGGGAAUAUUGCACAAUGGGGGAAACCCUGAUGCAGCAACGCCACGUGCGGGAAGAAGCAUUUCGGUGUGUAAACCACUGUCGUGAAGGAAUAAUGCUGGACCUCGGUCCAGUUGAAUGUACUUUGAAAGGAAGCACCGGCAAACUUCGUGCCAGCAGCCGCGGUAAUACGAGGGGUGCAAGCGUUGUUCGGAAUCACUGGGCGUAAAGGGAGCGCAGGCGGAGAUGCAAGCGGACUGUACAAUACCGGGGCCCAACCCCGGACCUGCAGUCCGGACUGCACCUCUUGGAUAGUUCAGGGGCAAGCGGAAUUCCUGGUGUAGCGGUGGAAUGCGUAGAGAUCAGGAAGAACACCGAUGGCGAAGGCAGCUUGCUGGGGACUUAUCGACGCUCAUGCUCGAAAGUGCGGGUAGCAAACAGGAUUAGAUACCCUGGUA
This 451-nucleotide ribosomal RNA is filed under the name uncultured Fibrobacter sp. RNAcentral's name for it is "partial 16S ribosomal RNA". It matches the Rfam family "Bacterial small subunit ribosomal RNA", at positions 341 to 792 of the family's 1533-position model. The record is from RNAcentral. Lineage: Bacteria; Pseudomonadati; Fibrobacterota; Fibrobacteria; Fibrobacterales; Fibrobacteraceae.